This is a small nucleolar RNA of Phyllostomus discolor (pale spear-nosed bat), 130 nucleotides long. RefSeq annotates it as small nucleolar RNA SNORA3/SNORA45 family. Lineage: Eukaryota; Metazoa; Chordata; Mammalia; Chiroptera; Phyllostomidae. The record is from RefSeq and is a predicted model, not a curated record. The transcript has a single exon.
AUCGAGGCUAGAGUCACGCUUGGGUACAGCUAUUGCCUUAGUGUGCCAGCAUCCUUGAAGAACAACUGCUAACCUUAUUCACUGGCUCCAGGCCCCUAUGGCGUGAUCAGGCACCAGGUCAGUGACAUGC